CGGGACACGUGGUAUCCUGUCUGAAUAUGGGGGGACCAUCCUCCAAGGCUAAAUACUCCUGACUGACCGAUAGUGAACCAGUACCGUGAGGGAAAGGCGAAAAGAACCCCGGCGAGGGGAGUGAAAAAGAACCUGAAACCGUGUACGUACAAGCAGUGGGAGCACGCUUAGGCGUGUGACUGCGUACCUUUUGUAUAAUGGGUCAGCGACUUAUAUUCUGUAGCAAGGUUAACCGAAUAGGGGAGCCGAAGGGAAACCGAGUCUUAACUGGGCGUUAAGUUGCAGGGUAUAGACCCGAAACCCGGUGAUCUAGCCAUGGGCAGGUUGAAGGUUGGGUAACACUAACUGGAGGACCGAACCGACUAAUGUUGAAAAAUUAGCGGAUGACUUGUGGCUGGGGGUGAAAGGCCAAUCAAACCGGGAGAUAGCUGGUUCUCCCCGAAAGCUAUUUAGGUAGCGCCUCGUGAAUUCAUCUCCGGGGGUAGAGCACUGUUUCGGCAAGGGGGUCAUCCCGACUUACCAACCCGAUGCAAACUGCGAAUACCGGAGAAUGUUAUCACGGGAGACACACGGCGGGUGCUAACGUCCGUCGUGAAGAGGGAAACAACCCAGACCGCCAGCUAAGGUCCCAAAGUCAUGGUUAAGUGGGAAACGAUGUGGGAAGGCCCAGACAGCCAGGAUGUUGGCUUAGAAGCAGCCAUCAUUUAAAGAAAGCGUAAUAGCUCACUGGUCGAGUCGGCCUGCGCGGAAGAUGUAACGGGGCUAAACCAUGCACCGAAGCUGCGGCAGCGACGCUGAUGCGUUGUUGGGUAGGGGAGCGUUCUGUAAGCCUGUGAAGGUGUGCUGUGAGGCAUGCUGGAGGUAUCAGAAGUGCGAAUGCUGACAUAAGUAACGAUAAAGCGGGUGAAAAGCCCGCUCGCCGGAAGACCAAGGGUUCCUGUCCAACGUUAAUCGGGGCAGGGUGAGUCGACCCCUAAGGCGAGGCCGAAAGGCGUAGUCGAUGGGAAACAGGUUAAUAUUCCUGUACUUGGUGUUACUGCGAAGGGGGGACGGAGAAGGCUAUGUUGGCCGGGCGACGGUUGUCCCGGUUUAAGCGUGUAGGCUGGUUUUCCAGGCAAAUCCGGAAAAUCAAGGCUGAGGCGUGAUGACGAGGCACUACGGUGCUGAAGCAACAAAUGCCCUGCUUCCAGGAAAAGCCUCUAAGCAUCAGGUAACAUCAAAUCGUACCCCAAACCGACACAGGUGGUCAGGUAGAGAAUACCAAGGCGCUUGAGAGAACUCGGGUGAAGGAACUAGGCAAAAUGGUGCCGUAACUUCGGGAGAAGGCACGCUGAUAUGUAGGUGAAGCGACUUGCUCGUGGAGCUGAAAUCAGUCGAAGAUACCAGCUGGCUGCAACUGUUUAUUAAAAACACAGCACUGUGCAAACACGAAAGUGGACGUAUACGGUGUGACGCCUGCCCGGUGCCGGAAGGUUAAUUGAUGGGGUCAGCGCAAGCGAAGCUCUUGAUCGAAGCCCCGGUAAACGGCGGCCGUAACUAUAACGGUCCUAAGGUAGCGAAAUUCCUUGUCGGGUAAGUUCCGACCUGCACGAAUGGCGUAAUGAUGGCCAGGCUGUCUCCACCCGAGACUCAGUGAAAUUGAACUCGCUGUGAAGAUGCAGUGUACCCGCGGCAAGACGGAAAGACCCCGUGAACCUUUACUAUAGCUUGACACUGAACAUUGAGCCUUGAUGUGUAGGAUAGGUGGGAGGCUUUGAAGUGUGGACGCCAGUCUGCAUGGAGCCGGCCUUGAAAUACCACCCUUUAAUGUUUGAUGUUCUAACGUUGACCCGUGAUCCGGGUUGCGGACAGUGUCUGGUGGGUAGUUUGACUGGGGCGGUCUCCUCCUAAAGAGUAACGGAGGAGCACGAAGGUUGGCUAAUCCUGGUCGGACAUCAGGAGGUUAGUGCAAUGGCAUAAGCCAGCUUGACUGCGAGCGUGACGGCGCGAGCAGGUGCGAAAGCAGGUCAUAGUGAUCCGGUGGUUCUGAAUGGAAGGGCCAUCGCUCAACGGAUAAAAGGUACUCCGGGG
RNAcentral lists this ribosomal RNA (2070 nucleotides) under Escherichia coli. RNAcentral's name for it is "partial 23S ribosomal RNA". It matches the Rfam family "Bacterial large subunit ribosomal RNA", at positions 418 to 2473 of the family's 2925-position model. The record is from RNAcentral. Lineage: Bacteria; Pseudomonadati; Pseudomonadota; Gammaproteobacteria; Enterobacterales; Enterobacteriaceae.